Molecule: transfer RNA, 85 nt
Organism: Felis catus (domestic cat)
Lineage: Eukaryota; Metazoa; Chordata; Mammalia; Carnivora; Felidae
Rfam family: tRNA
About the family: Transfer RNA (tRNA) molecules are approximately 80 nucleotides in length. Their secondary structure includes four short double-helical elements and three loops (D, anti-codon, and T loops).
Source: Rfam
GCCUGGGUGGCUCAGUCGGUUGAGCGUCCGACUUCGGCUCAGGUCAUGAUCUCACAGUUUGUGAGUUCGAGCCCCGCAUCAGGCU